This 447-nucleotide ribosomal RNA is filed under the name uncultured bacterium. RNAcentral describes it as "bacterial SSU rRNA". It matches the Rfam family "Bacterial small subunit ribosomal RNA", at positions 355 to 825 of the family's 1533-position model. The record is from RNAcentral.
UCGGGAAUUUUGGGCAAUGGGCGAAAGCCUGACCCAGCAACGCCGCGUGAAGGAUGAAGUAUUUCGGUAUGUAAACUUCGAAAGAAUAGGAAGAAUAAAUGACGGUACUAUUUAUAAGGUCCGGCUAACUACGUGCCAGCAGCCGCGGUAAUACGUAGGGUGCGAGCGUUAAUCGGAAUUACUGGGCGUAAAGCGUGCGCAGGCGGUUAUUUAAGUCUGAUGUUAAAUACUGUGGCCCAACCACAGAACUGCAUUGGAUACUGGAUGACUUGAGUGCGGUAGAGGCAAGUGGAAUUCCCAGUGUAGCGGUGAAAUGCGUAGAUAUUGGGAAGAACACCAGUGGCGUAAGCGACUUGCUGGCCCGUAACUGACGCUGAGGAACGAAAGCCAGGGGAGCGAAUGGGAUUAGAUACCCAAGUAGUCCCUGAGCGGGCUGGCAAGGCGCAU